GCAGUGUUCUCUCCUGAGCGUGAAGCCGGUCCUUGGCGUUGUUUCUGCAGCUGCCAUUGGCCAUUGAUGACCGUUCUUCUCUUCCUUUGGGAGAGUAAGAGGGAGAGGACACCGUCUGA
This is a small nucleolar RNA of 119 nucleotides. Its record names the gene U3. It matches the Rfam family "Small nucleolar RNA U3". From Rfam's summary of the family: Small nucleolar RNAs (snoRNAs) are involved in the processing and modification of rRNA in the nucleolus. There are two main classes of snoRNAs: the box C/D class, and the box H/ACA class. The record is from Ensembl.